UACGAGGGGGGCAAAUGUUGUUCGGAAUCACUGGGCGUAAAGGGAGCGUAGGCGGGUUCUUAAGUUAGGUGUUUAAUCCCGGGGCCCAACCCCGGACCGGCACUUAAAACUGGGAAUCUUGAAUAGUGGAGAGGUCGGUGGAAUUGGGGGUGUAGCGGUGGAAUGCGUAGAGAUCCCCAAGAACACCAGUUGCGAAGGCGGCCGACUGGACACAUAUUGACGCUGAGGUUCGAAAGCAUGGGGAGCAAACAGG
Molecule: ribosomal RNA, 253 nt
Filed under: uncultured bacterium
Lineage: Bacteria
Description: partial 16S ribosomal RNA
Rfam family: Bacterial small subunit ribosomal RNA
Source: RNAcentral